UCUUCCCCUCGCCCUCCUCCACCACGCGACGGUUCUUCCCCUCCACCUCCUCCACCAAGCAAACGUGCUGCCUCUCCUCCUCCACCAGGCGACGGUUCUUCCCCUCCACCUCCUCCACCACGCGACGGUUCUUCCCCUCGCCCUCCUCCACCACGCGACGGUUCUUCCCCUCCUCCUCCUCCACCACGUGACGGUUCUGCCCCUCCACCGCCUCCUAGUGGACCCCCUUCAACAUAGAGGCCUUCUCCUCCGAACCCAAACCAAGUGUAGACGAACGAAAAGCUGAUUCCACGCAGGACUAGAAGACUGCUGUUUAUCAAAUGACAACGAAUUUAGUCACAAUUAACGGCAACGAAUGGCAACCAAUCUUAAAUAUUAGUUUCCUUAUGAUGAUCUAGGCCUUUCAUGUAGUUUUGUUUUUCUUCUAUACGAUCAUGAAAUGAUAAGAGAUGAAAGAUUGGGCAAAACUAAACGGAUUUAAUGAAAAUCAAGUGCAAAGUUACAUCACUUAUUUCAUAAUUCUUUGAUCGGGUGAUAGAGUAACCGGCUACCCGCAUUCACUUUGCUUCA
Molecule: long non-coding RNA, 570 nt
Filed under: Strongylocentrotus purpuratus (purple sea urchin)
Lineage: Eukaryota; Metazoa; Echinodermata; Echinoidea; Camarodonta; Strongylocentrotidae
Description: uncharacterized LOC115925943
Source: RNAcentral